Amphiprion ocellaris (clown anemonefish) is the source of this 1452-nucleotide long non-coding RNA. Lineage: Eukaryota; Metazoa; Chordata; Actinopteri; Pomacentridae. The record is from Ensembl.
GUUUACUCUUCCUGCUGGGUUGGUAGGAUAAGGGAUAAAAUAUAUCGAGAGGGGGAUCCAAUCCGGUUUGAGCUAGUUCUGGUACUGCUCGGACGUUAAUGUUAAGUUACAGACUGCUCUGGAGGUGUAUAAGACAGAGGUGCAAGGCUGAACCACAUUACGCUGAUUGUCCUAAAAGGCUGUGCUGUUGUGUAAAAUCCGUGCUACCAAAGCAACGAUGGGAAGGAACAAAGCUAGCGCUGAUGCAGACCCAAAUGCUGAGCCAAGGAGAAAAUCUGCAAGAUUAUUAAAAUUGAAAGAGACAGAGGAAAAGCCAGAAAAGCCAGAAAAGAAAAAGGCACCUGCCAAGAAAGAUGUGAAAAAACCAGCAAAGGCUAAGCCAGAGGAGAAGAAAGAAGAACCUCAGGCAGAGACAGAAGAGGCUCCAGCAGAAAACGGGGAGGCCAAAGCUGAGGAGACCACAGCUGCAGAGGAACAGCCAGACGGUGAAGAGGAACAGCCGAAUGGCGAAGAGGAAAAAGAAGCAGAGUAGAAGCGAUACCUCUGAACUCAUUUGCCAAUGCUCCCUGUACCUCCUUUGUUGUAAAAUGCAGAGAAUAUUUUUAUCUACUAUUUUCUUAUGACAACAAUGUUUUUAGGGAUGUGAUUGCAUUUUUUUCCUAAAUACUACAACUUCCAUUCACUCUCAUGACUUGUGUGAAGGGAAGGUCUCUGUCAUUAUGUUCUUUUGGUCAUUUUGUUGUUAGAUUGUAGUUUUGUUUUGUUUUUUUCUGCAUGGCAUGCAAUAAUGCCUUCAUCAGGAAUGGGAGAGUUUACCUGAAACAUUCCCAAAGAAUUUUAAGAGAUUUUGUAACCUGUACUGUGUUGAAUACACAUCAAAAUACUGUUUGUUUGAUAAUGGGAUGAUUUGAAAGUUUGAAGCUUGUAUUCUAUGCUUUAACAAAAUGCCUUGUUCACAAUGUUCACUUUCAUCAUUUUCACAAGGAGUCCGGGAGUUGGUUUUCACUUUAAGGUACAAUUGAGAACGGUUAAAUUAAUCAAUGUUCUAAGCUAUGCUCAAAACAAAAAUGCAUUACAGUUAGUCAUAUUUGAUAUGGUUUUGGGAUUUGUCUACCAAUGUACAGUUUCCUCCUUUAAAAAAAAAAAAAAUGUUUUCUUUGUUUUGGAUGGUAUGAAAUGCCAAUUAAAGUGGGGAAUUUCUUUUAAGUAUUUGUCUUUCAUCAGCUAUAUUGUAUUUAAGUCUGCCUGCAUUGAUCCAUUUACCAGGACAGAUUGCAGAUGUUUCUUUUCUGUUGCCUGGAAUGACGUACUGCUGCUCUUUUUGAUUCACUUUAGUGAGAUUUAGAUAAUAGGAAAAGAAUCCUUGAACUAAUGCCAAUUACUCUGAAUGUUGCAUUUCUCAUUUUGCUUUAUAAGAGAGCUAGUGAAGAGUCUGGCAUAUGGGGUUGAUAC